AGAGUUUGAUCCUGGCUCAGAUUGAACGCUGGCGGCGUGCCUAACACAUGCAAGUCGAGCGGCAGCGCGGGGGCAACCCUGGCGGCGAGCGGCGGACGGGUGAGUAACGCUUGGGAAUCUGCCUAUCAGUGGGGGACAACCCGGGGAAACUCGGGCUAAUACCGCAUACGAUCUACGGAUGAAAGCCGGGGACCGCAAGGCCUGGCGCUGAUAGAUGAGCCCAAGUCGGAUUAGCUAGUUGGUAGGGUAAUGGCCUACCAAGGCGACGAUCCGUAACUGGUCUGAGAGGACGACCAGUCACACCGGAACUGAGACACGGUCCGGACUCCUACGGGAGGCAGCAGUGGGGAAUAUUGGACAAUGGGCGAAAGCCUGAUCCAGCGACGCCGCGUGGGUGAAGAAGGCCUGCGGGUUGUAAAGCCCUUUCGGUGGGGAAGAAAAGCUUCGACCUAAUACGUCGGAGUCUUGACGUAACCCAUAGAAGAAGCACCGGCUAACUCUGUGCCAGCAGCCGCGGUAAUACAGAGGGUGCGAGCGUUAAUCGGAAUUACUGGGCGUAAAGCGCGCGUAGGCGGCCUUGCAAGUCGAGUGUGAAAAUCCCCGGGCUUAACCUGGGAACUGCAUUCGAGACUGCAUAGCUAGAGUAUGGGAGAGGGAAGUGGAAUUUCAGGUGUAUCGGUGAAAUGCGUAGAUAUCUGAAGGAACAUCAGUGGCGAGAGCGACCUCCUAGGACCAAAACUGACGCUCAUGUGGCAAAACGUGGGGGAGCAAACAGGAUUAGAUACCCUCGAUAUUUCACGACAUUAACCAAGAGUACUUGGAUGUCCGGAGGGGCUGCCUCUCCGGUGUCUAACCUACGCGUUAAGGUCGUCCGCCUGGGUAGUACGGGCGCGAAGUCUGCACACCCCACGGAUUGACGG
RNAcentral lists this ribosomal RNA (920 nucleotides) under uncultured bacterium. RNAcentral describes it as "bacterial SSU rRNA". It matches the Rfam family "Bacterial small subunit ribosomal RNA", at positions 8 to 916 of the family's 1533-position model. The record is from RNAcentral.